CCGACAGCCACCAUCUGUAUAUGUCUGUACUCUGGGCAGCGUCUUUCCUGGCUUCCAAGGGUCUCUGAUAGCAGAAGUGCAACUGGGUGACACGGCACAUCCUUGGGAUUCUCACACAGCCCUGCGAGUCCCACAUGGAUAGAAGAAUUGACAGCGCCUUCCUCCAGGGCCUGAUUAUUUGAAGUUUCUCAACAGCUAUUUAAAAGACAUUGAGUGGCCCUGAGACCAUGGCCUGCACAGCCAUGUGCUUCCUGCAUGACUCCAACCAGCCCUGAGGAUACCCAUGCCGCUUUGGGACCUUGGCCGGUGCAGCCAUGUGCUUCCUGUGUGACUCCUGCUGGCCCUGGGGAAUGCAUGCUGCCCUUGGACCUUCGGCUGCACAGAUGUGCGCUUCCUGCAUGACUCCAGCUGGCACUGAGGAAUGCCAUGCUGACCUGGGACCUUGGCUCAUGCCCGGGCCAAGGACAUCUGCUGGCCCCUCGGGGACACUCCCUACCUCCUGGACAUAAUACUGCUGUUGAUCUUCAGCACCCACCCUUUCUCCCAGAACCUUGGACUACAGAGGAUUAACUGUGUGGCUUGAAGGGAGAUUCAGUAACUGCCUCACACAAACAUAUGAUCUCAACAGGCUCCAGUCAGUGUGGUGAGUAUGCCCCUGAAAUAGAGGCAUAAGUGGGUAAAUAGGACCUGUAGUAAGGCUUCCUCUGACUAAUUGUAAGAUCUUGGUGAAUCUGAGAAGAGUGUGGGUGACUCCUAGCUGCACACAGAAAACAUUAGGCAGGAUGAGGAGUGUGCCAAUAAGGACUCCCCCCAACAUGGAGAAAAUCAAAAGGGCUCAUGAGACACACAGGCACACAGUAGGGACACAGGAGGGCCUCAGCUAAAGUAAACAUUAUAGACAUGGAGAUUUGGUGACCUGGAAUAACCUGAAGAUAAAAUAAUAGCAGGAACUAAAAGUUGACCUACAAAACUCAGGAAGAAUACAGGACUCAUCCAACAGGCCCUGCAGUGGGAAGACAACUGACUGGCUCAUCUAUUCAUUGUGGGACCCAGCAAUUGGACAAACAUCAACCUUACAUUAGGACCUCAAGAUACACACUACCAACAGUUGACACAAGUGGGAUUGAAGGACCAAAUAUUAACUCAGAAAGGGAAAAUGGCAAAAUGAAAAAGCAAAAUGCAAUUUCAAACAUCUAGUCCACCAGGAGCAAGUACAGGAGACAUUGAAAUAGAGGAUUUCAAAAGUAACACCGUGGGAAUCUCUGGAAAGAUAAUAAGUGAAAUAAAAAAAUCAAUGAGGCUAUAGAGGAAAUCAAAUUAGAAGUACCCUCCCAUGAAAGAUAGAAAUAACAACCUUGGUAAAGGAGUUGCUGAGCACAGCUAAAGAAGAAAUAGAGAAAACGUACAGGAACAUGAGAAACUGAUUGAAACCUUGAAUGAACAAUAUAGAAAACAAGCAGAAUUCAUGAAACAAACUCAAAGACACGUCCAAGAAACAAAAAAUUCUAUUCAAAGCUGGUAAAACUGUUUAAAUGAAGCUGAGGACAGGAUUUCAGACCUUGAGGAUGGGAUCACAAUUAGUGAUCAUGAAAACAUAGAACUUUUAAAAAUAACAAAGCAGCCUGAAAUGACAAUCCAGCAGCUUCAAAAUAAUGCCAAGAUAAACAAUACAAUAUUAAUAGGCAUCAGUGAAAAUGUAGGAGGCAAUACAAAUGACAUAACUAAACUAUUCACAGAAGUAAUAGCAGAAAAUUUCCCACACAUGGGGAAAAAUAUGAUAUGCAGAUAAGUGAGGCAUAUAGAACACCAGUCACAACCAAUGUAAACCUACACCCAGACAUAUAAUAAUUAAGAUCCCAGACAUGCAGCAUAAAAAGAGAAUACUAAAAGCUGUUAGAAAAGACACAACUCACCUAUCAAACAAAGCCCAUUAGAAUCAUAGUACAUUUUUUAGCACGAACUCUCAAGUCAAGACAAGCUUGGAGUGAGGUAUUUCAAGCCCUGAAAAAACACAACUUUUAACCCAAACUGAUACACUCAGAAAAUCUUUCAUUCAAAUUUAGUGGAGAAACAAGACAAUUCCAUGACAAAGAACAACUGAUGAAAUUCACAUCAAACAAACCAACCCUAGAGAGUAUUGAAAGACAUACUAGAUAGAGAUAAAAAUGACCACAAUCCCAGAACAAUAACAGAAAGUGUAGUUGAAAAGGAAGGAUAGAGAAAUUCACUUUCAUUAAAUAAAUAUGAGGUGUGAUAAAAAUAUUGUUUUACAUGAUAUGUGUAUGCAUCAAUUCUCUAGCAUGAAUAUAAUUAUGAAUUACAAACAUAUACUACUAAUAAAGAGUUUCAGAAAAUAUUACAUUAAAGGCACAUUGCCAUUAAUCCUCCUCAAGACACCCCUUGUUUCAAACACACUUAUCUCACUGUUCAUGCCAUUUUCUGAAGCAGUUUUAGAAAUUCUCUUUCAUGAGCCUUUUUAUGCUAUCUGCCAAGUGCCGUUCAACAGAAAGGCAGCCUCAUAAAUGUUUUUGACUCAAGACAACAAUAUAGUCACAACAGUGCAAAUCAAAAAGACAUUCAAGAAAGAGGACUUCCACAACUGCUUCAGAAAGUGGCAAGAAUGAAGGGAUAAGUGUGUUUGAGGUGAGAGGAGGAUCCUGAGAGGAUAUAAAUAUAUAUGUACCAAAUACAGGCGCACCCAACUAUAUAAGACAGAUACUAAUGGACAUGAAAAACCAAAUACACAAAACACAAUUAUAACAGGAGACUGUAACAGCCCAUUGUCACAAAGAGAUAGAUCAAUUGGACAAAAAAUCAGCAAAGAAAUAACACAACUGGAUCAUAUCUGUGAAAAAUUGGACUUAAUAGAUGUUACAGAGUAUUCCACUCAGUCACAUCAGAAUACACAUUCUUCUCAGCUGCACAUGGGACAUUCUCCAAAAUAGAUCAUAUAUCAUCCCAUAAAACUUUCUUAACUGCAAAGGUAUUGAAAUUAUCCCAUGCAUAAUAUCUGACCAUAGCACACUGAAAUUGGAAACUAAUGGCAAAAUAAAUCACAAAGCCAGCAUAAAUACGUGGAAAUUAAAUAACAAACUUUUGAACAACCAAUGGGCUACAGAUGAAAUUAAAGAAGAAAUAAAGCAAUGCCUGCAAUUCAAUGAAAAUGUGGAAACAAUAUACUGUAAUCUGUGGGAUGCAAUGAAAGUGGUCUUAAGAGGGAAAUAUAUAACAAUAGAUUGUCAUAUCAAAAAAACAGAAUGAGCACAAAUAAACAAUCUAAUGCUUCAUCUCAAGCUUCUAGAAAAAGAAGAGCAAGUUAAACCCUAAGCUCAUAGAAUAGAGGAAACUGUAAAGAUUACAGCAGAAAUCAAUGCAAUUGAAACUAAAAAAAUACAAAGAAUUAAUGAAUCAAAAAGCUGAUUUUUUGAGAGAAUAAACAAAAUUGACAAACCUUUAGCUAACCCUAUAAAGGAAAAACCCAAAUUCAUGAAAUAAGGACUGAACAGGGAGAAAUUACUACAGAUUCCAUGAAAAUUCAAAAGAUCAUGCAUACCUACUUUGAAAAUCUCUACUCACAUCAAGUAGAAAACAUAGAGAAAAUGGACAGAUUUCUAGAAACAUACGAACUACCAAAGCCCAACCAAGAAGAUAUAGCAAUUUUGAAUAACCCAAUAUCAGCUAUUGAAACUGAAAACCUAAUUAAAAACUUACCAACAAAGAAAAGCCCAGGUCUUGAUGGAUUUGUGGCUGAAUUCUACAAAAAAUUUAGAGACAAUUUGAUGCCAAUAUUCCUUAAACUCUUCAAUGAAAUUUAAAAGGAAGCAAUCCUCCCUAAAUCAUUCCUAGAGGCAAGUAUUACUCUCAUACCAAAACCAGAAAAAGACCCCACCAGAAAGGAGAACUAUAGGCCAAUCUCACUAAUGAACACUGAUGCAAAAAUUCUCAGUAAAAUAAAAUGGCAAAUAAAAUGCAGCAAAUCAUCAAGAAGAUUAUACAUCAUGACCGAGUGGGAUUUUUUCCAGGAAUGCAGGCGUGGUUUAACAUAUGCAAAUCAAUAAAUGUAAUACACCACAUCAACAGAGCCAAAAACAAAAACCACAUCGUCAUCACAAUAGAUGCAGAACAAGCUUUCGAUAAAGUGCAACACACGUUAAUGAUAAAAACCCUUCAGAAACUAGGAAUACAUGUGUCUACCUCAAUCAUAUAAAGGCCAUCUGUGUCAAACCAACAGCCAACAUUGUACUAAGCUUUCACUUUAAAAUCAAGAACAAGAAAAGGAUGUCCACUCUCACCACUCCUAUUAAGUAUAGUUCUGGAAACACUAGCCAGGGCAACCAGACAAGAGAGAGAAAUAAAAGGGAUAAAGAUAGGAAAGGAAAAAGUUAAAUUAUCACUAUUUGCAGAUGUUGUGAUACUCUGUAUAGAAGACCCAAAAGAUACCAUUAAAAGACUGCUAGAAAUAAUAAACAAAUUCAGCAGUGUAGCUGGAUACAAAGUCAACACUCAAAAAUCAAUAGCAUUCCUGUACACAAACAAAAACUCACUGAGAGAGAAAUUAGGAAAUAUCGUCCUUCACAAUAGCAUCUAAAAAAAUGAAAUACUUAGGAAUCAACCUAAGAAUGUAAAAGACCUAUAUGCUGAAAAUUAUGCUGUGCUUAAAACGGAGACUGAAGAGGAUAUUCGAAAAUGAAAAAAUAUUCCUUGCUCUUGACUAGGAAGAACCAACAUUGUGAAAAUCGCUAUACUUCCAAAACUGUUAUACAGAUUUAAUGCAAUCCCAAUCAAAAUACUAUUAACAAUGUCACAGAUCUAGAGAAAACACUCCUAAAAUUCAUUUGGAAACAGAAGAAACCUAGAAUAGCAAAGGCAAUUCUGGGCAACAAAGGCAGGCAGGAGGCAUCUCAAUUCCUGACUUGAAACUAUACUACAAAGCCACAGUGAUAAAAUCAGCAUGGUACUGGCAAAGAAACAAACCUGAGCAUCAGUGGAACAGAUUAGAAGAUGCAAGCCCAACUACAAAACACUCAGCUACCUGAUAUUUGACAAAGGGACUAAACAUGUCCACUGGAAGAAGGAUAGCCUUUUUAAUACAUGGUGUUUGAAAAAUUGGCUCUCCACAUGCUGAAGACUGAAACUAGAUCCAAGCCUAACACCAUGCACAAAACUAAAGUGUAAAUGGAUCAAAGACCUAAAUAUUAAAACAGAAACACUAAAUCUACUUGGAGACAAGGUAGAUAGAAGUCUUGGAGACAUAAGGGUAGGCAGAGUAUUCAUGAACAAAAUGCAAACUGCACAGGUAAGACUUCAAAGAAUCAACAACUGGGAUCUCAUAUUAUUGAAAUGUUUUUGCACUUCAAAAUAAGUCACCAAUAGAGUGAAAAGAAAACCCACAGAAUGGGAAAGAAUUUUAGUCAGUAACCCCAGACAAAGGACUCAUAUCCAGAACAUACAAAGAAUUGAAAACUAUCAAACCCCCAAAUUCAAAGGUCCUCUCCAAAAAUGGGAACCUGAGAUAAACACACAGUUCUCAGAUGAAGAUAUACAAAUGGCAAGUAAAUACAUGAAGAAAUGGUCACCAUCACUGGUCAUUCGAGAAAUGCAGAUUAAAACAGCAUUAAGAUUUCAUGUCACUCAGGAAAGAAUGGCUGCCAUCAAGAAAUCAACUGAUAACAAAUGUUGGCGAGGCUGCGGGGGAAAAUGGAACACUGCUCCACUGUUGGUGGGAGUGUAGACUGGUGCAACCACUAUGGAAAUCAGUAUGGAGAAUUCUCAGAAGACUAGGAUUGGAUGUUCCAUUAAUCCAGCUAUUCCCUUCCUGGGUAUUUCCCAGAAAAACUGAAAAGGUCAUAUCACAGUGAUAUAUGUGACAUAUGUGCACCCAUGUUCAUAGCAACACAAUUUGUAAAUCUUGGAAACAACCAAGAUACACAUCAACCACAGAGUGGAUGAAAAAGAUGUGGUAUUUAUAUGCAAUGGAAUAUUACCUUGCCAAAAAAGGAUGAUCUUGAGGCCUUAUAGGCAAAUGGAGACAACUUGAGACUAUCCUCAUUAGUGAAAUAAAUAAGAAUCAUAUUUAUAAUAUCACAUUGUGUCUCUAGUGCAAAAGUAUUAAGAACUGUAGGGAGUAAUAAAACCUAAAAUGUGUAAUUGCUAUUGUAAAAAAGAGAAGAAAAGAAAGUGCUCUGAAGGAUAUAACUGCAUGUAUGUUUAAGUAUGUAGGAUUGAUAAAUAUAUUAUUAAGUUUUUGUUGGAUCAUUGAACAGAACAGUUUGCAGUCUCGCUGUCUGAAUGUCUACUUUGUAUGCUUUACUUUUGUAACUUGAACAACCAUUUCUAAGAGGACAAUAUGUAAUUUAUCAACUAGUGAUUUCUUACUGUUUAUUUUUUUUGAAAUUAUGUAUUAUUUUUACCCUUUUUUCUGUUUUGUUUUUUUUUUCUAUUUAAAAAUAUUAAAGGUAAUUCUUUAAUUGAAAAAAAAAAGACAUUGAGUAUAAUACUGCAUUCACAUCAAUAUAUUAGUUAAUGCCUACAUAUGUAGGUAUUUUUUGAAGACUCUGUGACCUUUUCAUGGAUUCAUUUUUCAUUAAGACAUGACGUUUCUGGAAUAAUAUUUUCAUUAUUUGACAUUAACUGGGGAUAUAUAAUAAUAGAAAAUUAAUUCAAAUUGCAAUUAUCUAUAUUUUACCCAGCACCUUCUUCCCACAUGUCUCAGUUCUCUGACUGGUUGCAUCCAUGUUUGAUGACAUCAUAGGAAGGGAUGAUGUCACAUUUUCAAUAUUAUGACUUCAGUGUAGGCUUUAGCAAAAGGAACAGAUGGCUGCAAGAGAGAAAAACCCUUGCUUAAAUUAGACUAACGCCAGAACUUGGCUUUGCAUUGUAAAGUGUAAUUAAAACGUUAUUUUAAAAUACAUUUCACAGUUUAUACAUCCUAGGGAGAGCUUUUUACCACAUGAACUUUCCAGCUGCCACACAGCACAAAGGAGGUUGGGUUUUUCAUGUAGGGCGAUCCGCAGUUCAGGGGAUGACGGUAUUGAAGAAAGCAAAGAUAAAUCUCAUAGACACAGCAAUCCGAUUUGUUAAAAUGUCACAUUUCACACGAAUGGUGUCAGAGUCAUGAAAAAUUGCUAUAGAAAAAAAAUUACUGGUGGAAGGUUUCAGUGAGAAUAUCCUGGGUAGAAAAACAUGACCAGUGACUUUGGCCUUCACACUGCCAGGCUUGCCCAGCCUAGAAUGUCUUUGUUAGAGUGCACAACAAAUACCAAUUUCCAUCAUAAUGUAGUUGCAUUUUACCGGCACUGUUUGUGCCUGUGAAGAAGUUUUGGUGCAUUUCAGUUUGCCAAUUGUUUGCCUGGUUUCUUUUCACUCUUUGUUUCUGUCUCUGCCUCUGUCUCUUUUAGUUUCUUAUUCUCUCUUUUCCUUUUUAAGUAAACUCUACAUUGAGAGGAAAUACAUAGUAAGUAUUAAUAGGGAGGGGAAUUGGCACAGCACUUUAAGGGUUAAAAUAAUUUUUCUUACCCGUUUGGCAUAUGAGUAAACCGACUUGGAGGUUUUUGUCACUUUGAAAGUCAUACAGCCAUACUCUAUUUGCUGGUGUCAGAACUUGAAACCAGGCAACCUGACUCCAGUAUCCUGUACUCCUCUACUGUCCCCCAUAGGCAUAAAAUCUACACUGCAUUAAUGAAAGAACACUGUAGUUGUUGCCAGUGUCAUCACACAACUUCAACCUCAAAUAAAUCCAAGGUUUGUGUCAGUGAGUACUUUUUACAAAAUGAUGUAUAUUUAUGGAAAAUUUACUACUUGUAUCCCCAUAUAGAUGUAAGUGGCCAUAAAGAUGUGUUUAAAAGAGUAGAUUUUUGAAAAUUUAUUAUUUUUUUUAUCUUCUGUGGUAGUAAAAGCAGAGAACAUGUCUGUGGACAACAGUAUCUGGAGACAGGAAGUGUUACUAGUAAAUAUUUUCUUAUUAAAAUUUCUCUUUUGCUUAUUAGGCCUCUUCUUCAUUGCCUGAACUAAUGUCUUUAAUGUUUCAUUCUGGUUGAAUCUGAGGCAAAAUGAUUGAAAUCACUUGUUUUUACUACUACACAUUAGAUGCAUAUUACACAAUGCACACUCAUGAUUAUCAAUUCAUUUCAUGUAUUACAUAGAUAAAGCAGACAUACACAUAUUCCUAACAAGAAACUAUUAAGAAAUAUAGUGUGAUGUUUGUAAGAUUCUAAAUGUUAUAAACCACUGCAUGUGUACAACAUUCCAAUUACUCUUCAAAAAAUGCUACUGUACUACUUAAUGAUAUAAAGAUGUUUUUGUUCAAUUUCCAUUUUCUAAACAUUUGCUUGGAAUUGUUUUGAAUGAUACCACAUUAAUUCACAAGUAUUUAUAGGGAUUAAAAUUGCACAGAUCCAAGGAAACUGCAUAAUUAUUUUUGUAGCUUUUCAAAGACAACCUUAAAGUUGACAGUUGCCAUAAUUAUAAUUAAAUAAUUAUUUUGUGAACUGAGAGUGGAAUAUUCUUCUGGAUAUGACCCAGUAUACACAGUAAUUAGCCAUUCAAAAAUUUGUUAAAUGAAUCGAUGUUCCACUCUUAAUUCAUUAAUUAAGAACAUGGAAGAAAAGUAUCAAAAUUUUAUCCUCUUAAGAUCUGGGCCAAUUUGGCUUAAAUAAUCAGAGGCCAGGAGAAUAAAAUGCAUGAUUGGCCCAUUGUCUGAUUUUUCCAUUUUUAUCUUCCAGAUACCCUUGGGUCUAAUUCAUUUACCUUCCACAGGAAGCAAUUUUCAAAGAGAGUAAUAUAUUGUUUUCCUGCACUUAAUUAUUGUGCCCCUAAUCAAACUCUGGCCCCUGGAUAGUCAUCAAAGCCUUUUGGCUUGUUAAAUGGCUAUCCAAAAACAAAAUAAACAAAGUAAAUCAAAAAAGAUUUAGCCAUCGCACCUGUUCAAGGCUAUCCAGGAAAUUCAAAAGUUUAAUUAGCAACUGGCACCCCAAAAAUCCACCAGCCAAGUUGUUUUACCCAGCUUUCAAUGGUAAUGAAUAAAUGUCCUUGCCCUAAAACUAUUUAAAGCUACCUUAAUAGUGAGAUUAGGGGCAAAGAUAAAUGCCAAAAAGAUGAUCUGAAGGGUGUUUUCUUUUUCCUUUUGAUACUGUGGACUGAACCCGGGAGCACUCUACGGCUGAGCUACAUCCUCAAUCCUCACCCUUUUACAAUUUUGAGACACGUGGUCUCGCCAAGUUGCCCAGGCUGUCCUUGAACUUGUGAUCCUCUUGCCUCAGUCUCCUGAGUUGCUGGAAUUCUCAGUACGCACUAUCAUGCCUGACCCUGAGAGGUGUUUUCCUAAUCACAUAUAGGCUGCAUCAGAGAAGGGCCAGGGUGAUGCUGUCGGUACCUGCCACCUGGAAAUGUAAAUAGAAGUUUAACAGGUAAUAAACUACUGUAAAUGAUUAAAUGUUGAAAGUUUUGUGGAUUAAAUGUCCAAACAAAGACAGAAGGGACCAUUGCUAUUUCCCAAUAAAUGUUGACUUUGGGUGGCUGUAACUGUCAAGGGCACCCCCACUGAUAUCCCCGAGGGUUAAAUUCACAGCAGUCAACCAUUCUUCAAAAGGCCUCUGUUUCUUAAGGGGAACAGAUGGUUAGGGGAGGGCCUGGACACAGAAGCAGAUUUAUCUUGUCAAGCUGUUAUCUCUUGGUAAAGGACCUUAAGCAGUUCAAUGACAACAGUGUGGUUCCCAGGUCUCUGAAGGUGAUGGCCAUUCAUUAACUGUUUCCCUCUAGCAUCAGGACUGUCCCUUCUGGAUAACUGCAUAGCCAGUUGUUGUAUUGGUAGUGGUGGUGUGUGUGCACAUGUGUGCUGGGCGGUGCAAAUCCUAAUAAAGAUUUUAUAAAAUUUUGGAAAUAUUUAAUUGCUUCAAUAUGACUAUGAAGAUACUGAAAUAUUUUAUUUUUGAGUUCUCAAAGAUGAUAAGAAAUGCUACUUUAAAGGGGAAACAUGAAUCAAUUUUUCAGGAAUACCAGACUGAGAAUUCAUCCUGCUUGGAUUUAAAACCCACAUUACUUGCAUCACUCUGCUUAGAUAGAUAUUAUUCUUUUUUUUUUGAUAGAUUUUAUUCUGUCCCAGUUUGUCUACUUGCAUUAGAUUAGAAGGCACAGACAGCUAUCCCCAAAACAUCAGAAUAUAGCACAGUAAUCAUCUUUAAUUUCCUAUUAUCUUAAUCUGGAGCGCUGUGUGACUUACACUGUUUUAUCAUGACUGAUCUUAGUUAAAUCUGGUUUGUUUGAUUGCUGUUUGGUAUCAACAGAUUUUAUUUAAAACUGAUAUGAUUGAUAGUAUCAAGUCUGAGAGUACAGGCAACCUCACUGAAGAUGACAAGACUCUACGAUACACAUUCUGGUUUGAUAACUGCCUGCUUUCAAAGUUUUAUACUAUAUACAAAGUUGUGUUUUUAUUAAUACUGUUAUGUACUGAUAUAUUCAAUUAUACUAUGUCUGAUGAUAUAGCCAAUUCUAUUGACGAUAAUAAGAGACAACACAGGAACUAUGGUAGAACUCCUUGUACAAUGGUCUUAUAUGUCUUUUUUGUUUCACGUGUUUAUAGGAAUAUAUUUUGUUUUGUUUUGCUUUGUUUUCUUUCUCCCUCUAAUAUAGAAAGGAUAGAAAUACAUGUUAAGACUCAUGCAUGUGUAGAAUCUAUAAACAGUUUAUGAGAACUGAUUUUAUGACACAUGAUGAAAUGAACAGAUACUUUGAAGAAAAA
Cavia porcellus (domestic guinea pig) is the source of this 10735-nucleotide long non-coding RNA. RefSeq lists it as uncharacterized. The transcript is spliced from 2 exons. The record is from RefSeq and is a predicted model, not a curated record. Lineage: Eukaryota; Metazoa; Chordata; Mammalia; Rodentia; Caviidae.